RNAcentral lists this ribosomal RNA (705 nucleotides) under Halomonadaceae bacterium. RNAcentral describes it as "bacterial SSU rRNA". It matches the Rfam family "Bacterial small subunit ribosomal RNA", at positions 28 to 723 of the family's 1533-position model. Lineage: Bacteria; Pseudomonadati; Pseudomonadota; Gammaproteobacteria; Oceanospirillales; Halomonadaceae. The record is from RNAcentral.
AUUGAACGCUGGCGGCAGGCCUAACACAUGCAAGUUAGAGCGGAAACGAUCCUAGCUUGCUAGGAGGCGUCGAGCGGCGGACGGGUGAGUAAUGCAUAGGAAUCUGCCCGAUAGUGGGGGAUAACCUGGGGAAACUCAGGCUAAUACCGCAUACGUCGUACGGGAGAAAGCAGGGGAUCUUCGGACCUUGCGCUAUCGGAUGAGCAUAUGUUGGUUUAGCUUGUUUGUGAGGUAAUGGCUCACCAAGGCGACGAUCCGUAGGUGGUAUGAGAGGAUGAUCAGCCACAUCGGGAGUGAGACACGUCCCGAACUCCUACGGGAGGCAGCAGUGGGGAAUAUUGGACAAUGCGCGAAAGCCUGAUCCAGCCCUGCCGGGUGUGUGAAGAAGGCUUUCGGGUUGUAAAGCACUUUCAGUGAGGAAGAAAGCCUUGGGGCUAAUACCCCCAAGGGACGACAUCACUCACAGAAGAAGCACCGGCUAACUCCGUGCCAGCAGCCGCGGUAAUACGGAGGGUGCAAGCGUUAAUCGGAAUUACUGGGCGUAAAGCGCGCGUAGGCGGCUUGAUAAGUCGGUUGUGAAAUCCCCGGGCUCAACCUGGGAACGGCAUCCGGAACUGUCAGUCUAGAGUGCAGGAGAGGAAGGUAGAAUUCCCGGUGUAGCGGUGAAAUGCGUAGAGAUCGGGAGGAAUACCAGUGGCGAAGGCG